GACGAACGCUGGCGGCGUGCCUAAUACAUGCAAGUUGAGCGCUGAAGGUUGGUACUUGUACCAACUGGAUGAGCAGCGAACGGGUGAGUAACGCGUGGGGAAUCUGCCUUUGAGCGGGGGACAACAUUUGGAAACGAAUGCUAAUACCGCAUAAAAACUUUAAACACAAGUUUUAAGUUUGAAAGAUGCAAUUGCAUCACUCAAAGAUGAUCCCGCGUUGUAUUAGCUAGUUGGUGAGGUAAAGGCUCACCAAGGCGAUGAUACAUAGCCGACCUGAGAGGGUGAUCGGCCACGUUGGGACUGGGACACGGCCCAAACUCCUACGAGAGACAGCAGUAGGGAAUCUUCGGCGAUGGACGAAAGUCUGACCGAGCAACGCCGCGUGAGUGAAGAAGGUUGUCGGAUCGUAAAACUCUGUUGGUAGAGAAGAACGUUAGUGAGAGUGGAAAGCUCAUCAAGUGACGGUAACUACCCAGAAAGGGACGGCUAACUACGUG
RNAcentral lists this ribosomal RNA (497 nucleotides) under uncultured bacterium. Its description in RNAcentral is "partial 16S ribosomal RNA". It matches the Rfam family "Bacterial small subunit ribosomal RNA", at positions 28 to 507 of the family's 1533-position model. The record is from RNAcentral.